This 69-nucleotide transfer RNA is filed under the name Marmota monax (woodchuck). It matches the Rfam family "tRNA". From Rfam's summary of the family: Transfer RNA (tRNA) molecules are approximately 80 nucleotides in length. Their secondary structure includes four short double-helical elements and three loops (D, anti-codon, and T loops). The record is from Rfam by way of RNAcentral. Lineage: Eukaryota; Metazoa; Chordata; Mammalia; Rodentia; Sciuridae.
GGGGUUGUGGCUCAGUGGCAGAGCGCUUGCCUAGCAUGUAUGAGGCACUGGGUUCAAUUCUCAACACCA